Small nucleolar RNA from Marmota marmota marmota (Alpine marmot), 72 nucleotides. NCBI's taxonomy places the organism in Eukaryota, Metazoa, Chordata, Mammalia, Rodentia, Sciuridae. The record is from Ensembl.
CUACAAUGAUAGUUAAUAUUUUCCAUCAAUAGCAAUUCACCUAGUGAGUGUUGAUACUUUGAAUCUGAGUGA